RNAcentral lists this ribosomal RNA (253 nucleotides) under uncultured archaeon. RNAcentral's name for it is "partial 16S ribosomal RNA". It matches the Rfam family "Archaeal small subunit ribosomal RNA", at positions 474 to 727 of the family's 1478-position model. The record is from RNAcentral.
UACCAGCUCCUCGAAUGGUCGGGACGAUUAUUGGGCCUAAAGCAUCCGUAGCUGGCUUCAUAGGUCUCCUGUUAAAUUCAACGGCUCAACCGUUGAGCUGCAGGGGAUACCGUGGGGCUAGGAGGCGGGAGAGGCGGACGGUAUUCCACGGGUAGGGGUAAAAUCUAUUGAUUUGUGGAGGACCACCAGUGGCGAAGGCGAUCCGCCAGAACGCGCUCGACGGUGAGGGAUGAAAGCUGGGGGAGCGAACCGG